RNAcentral lists this ribosomal RNA (437 nucleotides) under uncultured bacterium. Its description in RNAcentral is "bacterial SSU rRNA". It matches the Rfam family "Bacterial small subunit ribosomal RNA", at positions 954 to 1392 of the family's 1533-position model. The record is from RNAcentral.
GCACAACGCGAAGAACCUUACCAAGGCUUGACAUAUACGGUCUAUCCCUAGAGAUAGGGAGUGCUUCGGCGCCGUAUACAGGUGGUGCAUGGUUGUCGUCAGCUCGUGUCGUGAGAUGUUGGGUUAAGUCCCGCAACGAGCGCAACCCUCGUCCUAUGUUGCCAGCGGGUAAUGCCGGGGACUCAUAGGAGACUGCCGGGGUCAACUCGGAGGAAGGUGGGGAUGACGUCAAAUCAUCAUGCCCCUUAUGUCUUGGGCUUCACGCAUGCUACAAUGGCCGGUACAGAGGGCUGCGAUACCGUAAGGUGGAGCGAAUCCCAAAAAGCCGGUCUCAGUUCGGAUUGAGGUCUGCAACUCGACCUCAUGAAGUCGGAGUCGCUAGUAAUCGCAGAUCAGCAACGCUGCGGUGAAUACGUUCCCGGGUCUUGUACACACCG